Molecule: ribosomal RNA, 550 nt
Filed under: uncultured bacterium
Lineage: Bacteria
Description: bacterial SSU rRNA
Rfam family: Bacterial small subunit ribosomal RNA
Source: RNAcentral
AGAGUUUGAUCCUGGCUCAGAUUGAACGCUGGCGGCAUGCCUUACACAUGCAAGUCGAACGGCAGCACGGGAGCAAUCCUGGUGGCGAGUGGCGAACGGGUGAGUAAUAUAUCGGAACGUACCUUGGAGUGGGGGAUAACGUAGCGAAAGUUACGCUAAUACCGCAUAUUCUGUGCGCAGGAAAGCAGGGGAUCUUAGGACCUUGUGCUCUUUGAGCGGCCGAUAUCAGAUUAGCUAGUUGGUGAGGUAAAGGCUCACCAAGGCGACGAUCUGUAGCGGGUCUGAGAGGAUGAUCCGCCACACUGGAACUGAGACACGGUCCAGACUCCUACGGGAGGCAGCAGUGGGGAAUUUUGGACAAUGGGGGCAACCCUGAUCCAGCCAUGCCGCGUGAGUGAAGAAGGCCUUCGGGUUGUAAAGCUCUUUCGGCCGGGAAGAAAUCGCAUCGGUUAAUACCCGGUGUGGAUGACGGUACCGGAAUAAGAAGCACCGGCUAACUACGUGCCAGCAGCCGCGGUAAUACGUAGGGUGCGAGCGUUAAUCGGAAUUA